AGAGGGAGGGAGGGGGGGCAGUAGAGGGAGUUUUUUUGUUUGUUGCCAAAACCAUCUACAGGGUCGUAUUCAUUAGGGCAUGUAAAGUAAUGUAUUCACGACAAUGUAACGUUUCCUAUUGGACAGAUGCAAGGUCGUCUCUCCCUGUUUCAGGCCAUUUACUUCGGUUUGGUGCCUAAUGAAAACGACCUAGGUAAAUGAAAUCUAACGUAGUGGCAACGUGUGAGAUUAGGAUUGAGAUAAUGUCUAGUUUGAGAUUGUUAUGGUUCUUAUCAAGGAAAACAUAUAUAUAUAAUGCAGUAAAGGGUUUAAUAUAUUUAUUUUGUUAUAAAUUGAAUAUGUGUAUGUUAUUAUGAAUUUGAUUGAUAAAAAGAGACAAUGUUUGUUUUUGGGUUUACACUUCUGAAAAGGGAAAAUGGUAUACUGUAGGAAAUCUUUUGCACAACUACAUUACCCUAUACUACAGUAAGGUGCUGUAACUACAUUACCCUAUACUACAGUACGGUGAUGUAACUACAUUACCCUAUACUACAGUAAGGUGCUGUAACUACAUUACCCCAUACUACAGUAAGGUGAUGUAACUACAUUACCCUAUACCACAGUAAGGCGCUGUAACUACAUUACCCCAUACUACAGUAAGGUGCUGUACCUACAUUACCCUAUACUACAGUAAGGUGAUGUAACUACAUUACCCUAUACUACAGUAAGGUGCUGUAACUACAUUACCCUAUACUACAGUAAGGUGAUGCAACUACAUUACCCUAUACUACAGUAAGGUGCUGUAACUACAUUACCCUAUACUACAGUAAGGUGAUGCAACUACAUUACCCUAUACUACAGUAAGGUGAUGCAACUACAUUACCCUAUACUACAGUAAGGUGAUGUAACUACAUUACCCUAUACUACAGUAAGGUGCUGUAACUACAUUACCCUAUACUACAGUAAGGUGAUGCAACUACAUUACCCUAUACUACAGUAAGGUGAUGUAACUACAUUACCCUAUACCACUGUAAGGUGCUGUAACUACAUUACCCUAUACUACUGUACGGUGCUGUAGCUACAUUACCCCAUACUACAGUAAGGUGAUGUAACUACAUUACCCUAUACUACAGUAAGGUGAUGUAACUACAUUACCCUAUACUACAGUAAGGUGCUGUAACUACAUUGCCCCAUACUACAGUAAGGUGAUGUAACUACAUUACCCUAUACUACAGCAAGGUGCUGUAACUACAUUACCCUAUACUACAGUAAGGUGAUGCAACUACAUUACCCUAUACUACAGUAAGGUGCUGUAACUACAUUACCCUAUACCACUGUACGGUGCUGUAACUACAUUACCCUAUACCACUGUACGGUGCUGUAACUACAUUACCCUAUACUACUAUACGGUGCUGUAACUACAUUACCCUAUACCACUGUAAGGUGCUGUAACUACAUUACCCCAUACUACAGGACGGUGAUGUAACUACAUUACCCUAUACUACAGUAAGGUGAUGUAACUACAUUACCCCAUACUACAGUAAGGUGAUGUAACUACAUUACCCUAUACCACAGUAAGGUGCUGUAACUACAUUACCCCAUACUACAGUAAGGUGCUGUACCUACAUUACCCUAUACUACAGUAAGGUGAUGUAACUACAUUACCCUAUACUACAGUAAGGUGCUGUAACUACAUUACCCUAUACUACAGUAAGGUGAUGCAACUACAUUACCCUAUACUACAGUAAGGUGCUGUAACUACAUUACCCUAUACUACAGUAAGGUGAUGCAACUACAUUACCAUAUACUACAGUAAGGUGAUGCAACUACAUUACCCUAUACUACAGUAAGGUGAUGUAACUACAUUACCCUAUACUACAGUAAGGUGCUGUAACUACAUUACCCUAUACUACAGUAAGGUGAUGCAACUACAUUACCCUAUACUACAGUAAGGUGAUGUAACUACAUUACCCUAUACCACUGUGAGGUGCUGUAACUACAUUACCCUAUACUACUGUACGGUGCUGUAACCACAUUACCCCAUACUACAGUAAGGUGAUGUAACUACAUUACCCUAUACUACAGUAAGGUGAUGUAACUACAUUACCCUAUACUACAGUAAGGUGCGGUAACUACAUUACCCUAUACUACAGUAAGGUGAUGCAACUACAUUACCCUAUACUACAGUAAGGUGCUGUAACUACAUUACCUUAUACCACUGUACGGUGCUGUAACUACAUUACCCUAUACCACUGUACGGUGCUGUAACUACAUUACCCUAUACUACUAUACGGUGCUGUAACUACAUUACCCUAUACCACUGUAAGGUGCUGUAACUACAUUACCCCAUACUACAGGAAGGUGCUGUAACUACAUUACCCUAUACUACAGUAAGGUGAUGUAACUACAUUACCCUAUACUACAGUAAGGUGCUGUAACUACAUUACCCUAUACUACAGUAAGGUGAUGCAACUACAUUACCCUAUACUACAGUAAGGUGCUGUAACUACAUUACCCUAUACCACUGUACGGUGCUGUAACUACAUUACCCUAUACCACUGUAAGGUGCUGUAACUACAUUACCCUAUACUGCUGUACGGUGCUGUAACUACAUUACCCUAUACCACUGUAAGGUGCUGUAACUACAUUACCCUAUACUACUGUACGGUGCUGUAACUACAUUACCCUAUACCACUGUAAGGUGCUGUAACUACAUUACCCUAUACUACUGUACGGUGCUGUAACUACAUUACCCUAUACCACUGUAAGGUGCUGUAACUACAUUACCCUAUACUACAGUAAGGUGCUGUAACUACAUUACCCUAUACUACUACAGCAAAGGUUGGGGUCAAUUCCAGUCAAUUCAGGAAGUAUUCCAAUGCUUUUCAAUGAGCAACAUUUGGAAUCGGAAUUUGGUUUGCCUUUGAAUAAAUAAUAACAAUAAUAAUUUAUUUAUCUUGUAUAGCACUUUUCAUGACAGAAAAUAAUCUCAAAACGCAUAAAAAGGAAAAUAAACAAACAACAAAUUUUAAAAUCGAGAUGGUGGAGAGACUGAAUGUCUCUGUUUGACUUGGGAUGAAAGGCUGGGAGUUGACAGGAGGGGACCUCGACGAUACAGAGAGAAUCAAAGACAGUCUGACAAACAGACCCAGAGCUCUUUAUCAGUGCACCGCACCUGCUUCUCCAACGCUCCUCCACCACAGGACCCGCUCCUCCACCAUAGGACCCACUCCUCGUCCACAGGACCCGCUCCUCUGUAGGUGCUGGACCUCCUGCAGGUACUGGACUUCUGGACCUCUUUAGGUACUGGACCUCUGUAGGUACUGGACUUCUGGACCUCUGUAGGUACUGGACUUCUGGACCUCUGUAGGUACUGGACCUCUGUAGGUACUGGACUUCUGGACCUCUUUAGGUACUGGACCUCUGUAGGUACUGGAUUUCUGGACCUCUUUAGGUACUGGACCUCUGUAGGUACUGGACUUCUGGACCUCUGUAGGUACUGGACCUCUGUAGGUACUGGACCUCCAUUGCCGAACAUGUAGCACCCACCUGGGUGAUGCCACAGCUUCUGAAAGGUGCAAUUUGAAUUGACUGGUAUUUUAAAUGGAAUUGAUCCCAACCCUGUGUUCUAUAACCGUGACUACUGUUUAAAGACCGAGACUGUGAGACAAAGUGCCAGUCGUGUUUACAUUCAUAUCCAAUAGGACUUGGAAGGGAUAUAACGUCUGUGGAAGAGAUUACUGCUAGCAUACUGGAAAAGCACAGUUAGUUUAUUCUAUCCUGGUCCCAGAUCUGUUUUGUGCUGUGUAGCCAACUCCUGUUGCAUUUGACAAGACAACACAACACGCAGAUCUAGAACCAGGCUAAGAUUUGUUGUAGGUUUAGUAUAGGAUUUAGACUCAUUCUUGGGUUACAAAGAACUCCACUAUAAAACACUGUUGUUUUUUUCGAUUGAGUUUUUCUGUAAGUAGCGCUUGUUGUAGGUUUUCAUAUUCAUAUGUUUGAUGUGCGGUUUUCUGUUUGUUGUAUGUGGCAUUGUUAUUAGAGAUUGGGAAUCUGCAUUUUGUGUGUGUGUGUUUCUACUGUAUAAGUGCCUGACUACUCAUAAGCUAAAGAGAACCAAAAUGGCGAUCUGCUUUCUGCACUGCUGAGAUCACAAUGAUCGUUUCUAUCACUGUAUAAUGGAGAGAGAGAGAGAGAGAGACCGAGGUGUUUUCUAUUGAUGACAGGCAUUUGAAUGACGACUGUACUGUAGGUAUGGUCAGGUCCGCCAUUAUUACCCCCCCCCCCCCCCCUUGAUACAGAUGACAAAAUAAUUCAAUACAAAAGACUAAUUCUGAGCGAUAUUGCCUGCUCAACAAAAUGGGGAAAUGGUAUAUUUAGAUUUUUUUAUAUCAAUACAAUUGCUCAGCGAACGAACUAUAUUUUCAUGUCAUCUGACCAUAGCACCGCCUGGCGUUUCCACCGCCUGGUGUUUCCACCGCCUGGUGUUUCCACCGCCUGGCGUUUCCACCGCCUGGCGUUUCCACCGCCUGGCGUUUCCACCGCCUGGUGUUUGCUAAACGGCAUAGGAACCGGUGCUUUGGUCAGAUGACCUGUAAAUAGAGCUCCUCACCGCACAACAGCGGUGGGUUUGGCGUUGAACAACAGAGGUGGGUUUGACGUUGAGGAACAGAAGCAGGAACGAACCGCCGUACCUACUGUAAAAUAUGGGGGUGGAUGUUUUGAUGUUAUGGGGCUGUUUUGUUUCCACUGAUCAUGGGACACUUGUUUAAGGUCAACGGCAUCAGGAACUUUAUCCAGUACCAGGACAUUAUUUUGAGUGUGUGUGUGAGAAUGUAGUGUGUGUGUGAACUGUGAUCUUUGUGUGUGUGAACUGUGAUCUUUGUGUGUGUGUGUGUGUGUGAACUGUGAUCUUUGUGUGUGUGUGUGUGAACUGUGAUCUUUGUGUGUGUGUGUGUGUGUGAACUGUGAUCUCUGUGUGUGUGUGUGUGAACUGUGAUCUUUGUGUGUGUGUGUGUGUGUGUGUGUGUGAACUGUGAUCUCUGUGUGUGUGUGUGUGAACUGUGAUCUUUGUGUGUGUGUGUGUGUGUGAACUGUGAUCUCUGUGUGUGUGAACUGUGCCCUUUGUGUGUGUGAACUGUGAUCUCUGUGUGUGUGUGUGAACUGUGAUCUCUGUGUGUGAACUGUGAUCUCUCUGUGUGUGUGUGUGUGUGAACUGUGAUCUUUGUGUGUGUGUGUGUGUGUGUGUGAACUGUGAUCUUUGUGUGUGUGUGUGUGUGUGAACUGUGAUCUUUGUGUGUGUGUGUGUGUGCCAAAAACCAGAUUUUCUUCUGCCAAGGAGGCUGACACAAGUGGAACUUCCAGCAAGAUGAUAAUAACCUCCAGGACGAAUCGAACAUUUACCCACACAUCUAGAUGCUGCAAUAGUCACCUCAGUCCCCGGGCUUUUGAUUCUGUGUGGAGGACUGGAUUAAGAUUCCACCCAACGUGUUCUCCAGGCACAUAAAACAUUCUAGAAAUGGGCUCAGUGGUGUUAUCCUCGCAGGGUGCUGGAGCAUUGACAACAGGGGUGCCAAGAACCCCACUUUUUUUUGGGGGGGGGGGGGGGGGGGGGGUUUGUAUGUAUUUCCUGUUCAACAAAAUUUCAUUCUCUGAGCAAUUGUAUUGUUAUAAAAUAGUAUAUUUUCACCCUUUUUUUGUUGCAUGAAAUAUAUCUCAGUAUUUUAUAUUGUUUUAUUUAUACAAGAUUUUUUUGCUUAUCUUUAUCCAGGGUGCCAAUAAAUAUGGACCUGGUUGUAUCUGGGGUUUUGUUUUCGGUUUAUCACACAAAAAAUGUAUGAAAUUGUUCUAUUUCGUUGUGUACUGUAUAAAAAAAAAAAAACACUACUGCGUUUGUUUGUGGCCAGUAAAACUGUGAGAUUUAAAACUGUUUCUUUCUUUCUAAGACUUUCCUUACCAUGUUGCAAAGCUUGACUUGCUGUCGGUUAACGCCAACAGAUUGUUAUGCUGGUGUGGUGGGUUGUGGAUGCUGUCUGUGUGUUCAGGCGGUGUUUUUAUAUGACAAUCAUGGUGACACUUAUUACUCAAUAUUAAAUCUAUUUCCUGGAAUGUAUCAAA
Oncorhynchus kisutch (coho salmon) is the source of this 6099-nucleotide long non-coding RNA. RefSeq lists it as uncharacterized. The record is from RefSeq and is a predicted model, not a curated record. NCBI's taxonomy places the organism in Eukaryota, Metazoa, Chordata, Actinopteri, Salmoniformes, Salmonidae. The transcript has 2 exons.